GGACAAGGACGCCAUGAGAGGUUCCUUGGGGACGGGGACACCUCCAGAGGGACAAAAAUCCUGGAGGGACACCUUGAAGGUGACACUGAACCUUCUCUGGCAGUGGGAAGGGGACAAGGACACCACGAGAGGGACAAAAGUCCCCGUGGACACCCGGGAGGGGACAAGGACACUGUGAAAGGGACAAAGGACACCUUGAAGGUGACACUGAGCCUUCUCUGGCAGUGGGAAGGGGACAGGGACAUCUCCAGAGGGACAAAGACCCUGGAGGGACACCUUGAAGGUGACACAAACUCCUCGGGUCCCCGUGGACACCUGGGAGGUGACAAGGACACCACGAGUGGCCCCUGGGGACAGGGACGUCCCCUCCAGGUGACAGCACCGGGACCAAACCACCACAGCAACUCGGGACCCUCAGCACGGCCACCUCCUCCAGGCGCCAAAACCCCCCCG
Long non-coding RNA from Passer montanus (Eurasian tree sparrow), 453 nucleotides. RefSeq lists it as uncharacterized. NCBI's taxonomy places the organism in Eukaryota, Metazoa, Chordata, Aves, Passeriformes, Passeridae. The record is from RefSeq and is a predicted model, not a curated record. The transcript has 2 exons.